RNAcentral lists this unclassified non-coding RNA (253 nucleotides) under uncultured Pirellulaceae bacterium. RNAcentral describes it as "contains 16S-23S intergenic spacer region". It matches the Rfam family "Bacterial small subunit ribosomal RNA", at positions 524 to 776 of the family's 1533-position model. The record is from RNAcentral. Lineage: Bacteria; Pseudomonadati; Planctomycetota; Planctomycetia; Pirellulales; Pirellulaceae.
GACGAACCGUACAAACGUUAUUCGGAAUCACUGGGCUUAAAGGGUGCGUAGGCGGUGCGGAAAGUUGGGUGUGAAAUCCCUCGGCUUAACCGAGGAACUGCGCUCAAAACUACCGCGCUCGAGGGAGAUAGAGGUGAGCGGAACUUAGGGUGGAGCGGUGAAAUGCGUUGAUAUCCUAAGGAACACCGGUGGCGAAAGCGGCUCACUGGAUCUCUUCUGACGCUGAGGCACGAAAGCUAGGGUAGCGAACGGG